Drosophila nasuta is the source of this 577-nucleotide long non-coding RNA. RefSeq lists it as uncharacterized. The transcript is spliced from 3 exons. The record is from RefSeq and is a predicted model, not a curated record. NCBI's taxonomy places the organism in Eukaryota, Metazoa, Arthropoda, Insecta, Diptera, Drosophilidae.
CUUUGAGAGAGUGCAUUGGAUGCUCCUCGGGCUUAUGACGGAUGUACUUGAAGCCAUUCAGCUGGAAAAUCCUAUAUACUGAGCGACGCCAACUUCCUGAGCGAUUCGAACGAAGAGGAAAUGCGAACGUGGGAUGAGUGAAUGCGAAAAAUGAGAAGAAGACGGAUGGAAAAAAAUAGGAAAAAGGAAAAAGAAAUGCCAAAAGAUAGACAAAGGCAAUGGCAUAGUUUUUUUGCGCGUAUAAUGGUAACUGACACGUUGUCUGCUCCAAACACAAAUAGAGCAACAGUGCAAGGAUGUAGAGAGAAAGAGAGAGAGAGAGAGAGAUGGACAAAGAGUGAGAGGGAGAGGGGCGAUAUAGCACAGAAUAAAUAGCUGGGCGAGAAAAAAAGGGAAAAUCAUUGCAAUAGGAAAUGAAAAUGCUGCGAACUGAGAGCGAGAGAGAGAGAGAGAGAGAGAGAGAGAGGGAGGAAAUCGAAACGAGACAGCAAAAUCAAUAGGAAACAGUAUGAGGAUAUUUAAGCAGGAUAUUUAAUAUGAGCACCUAAAGCUUUAUAACCUUUAUAACUGGCAUACA